UCCCAUUACACGCCUGCACGGAAGAAGAAAAGGACAUUAAAAAAACAACAACACAAAAAACAGAAGUGAUGCUCUGACUCGGAAAAUGGACGCUGCUCACCGAUGACGUGAAGGUUUCUGAUCGGUCUGGAGUUUUGGAAUCACCUGAUCUUUGGAUUAUGACUUUGAGUCGAGUGAUGCCCACUUCCCUCAGGACUACAUCACGGUCAACUGCUGUUUUCUAAUACUGGAGGACAUUGGUCAAAUACAUAGAUUCAAACGCUAGUCAUCUCCGACAACCUCACAGUGGACACCGUCAGUUCUUAAGACUGAUAACGGAAACGAACUGUUUUCAGAAACAAUGAAACAUCCUCAAAAAGACAAACUGACAUUCAGCCAACGUAAGACUGAAACUGUGAGAGUGAAGGAAGGAAAGAUGGACUGUCUUUUUGAUUGUUUGUUUGUUCAGAAAACUUGUGUACUGGAUGUUCAUGUAGGUGAUGUAGAUCAUUUCUCUCAAACACACUAUAACUGACAUUAAUGCAGAUUUGCGGUUAAUUUCAAAAAGGUGGGGGAAAGGUUAGAUAAUGACUAAAGUAGUAAAAAAGUAGAUGUGAUGUUUGGAAUGAUUAAUUCAACAAUUAGAUCUCCUUAGAUUAGAAAUGUGUAUAUAUAUUUAAUUUUUUCAAUUUGUCAUUUCUUCUUACAAAUAUUUUGCGUCUUAUUUGUUUGUAAUUAUUUUAGCUGGUAGAAAAAAAAAGCAUAUUUGUCUCUUGUAAAAUGUGUUUGACAAUCGGUAUGACUGAUAUUACUUGAAACAUUUGAAACAUUUUUUUCUGGUACAAAGUCAAGUUGAUGCAUCAAUUAUACAUUUUACAGUGUGUGUGUGUGUGUGUUUGUUUUUAGAAAUUAUUGCACUGGUGAUAAAUGAGGUUCUUAUGUGGUCAAAUGGUUGUUGGAUUAACUGCAUUACACUUGCCAGUUUUUUAUAUUUCACAGCAAACUUUCAGUCUUUAUCAUGUUAUAUUCCAUUUAUAGUAGAGAGCAACCACCACAGCAGGAAAUAUGUCAAAUUCAAAACAAAUUUUUAUCUUAUUUUAUCUAUGCAAAAGAAAAUUAGAAGAAGGCGUUCAGUUUGCACUAUUUGUAUGUGUUUGCACAUUAACAGUAUGAGUGGUCUGAGAUAAAUGUGGUAAAUUGUGAUGUUUUACUAAUGUGCAAUAUGAGCACAGGUGCAAUGUAGAUUAUGGAAAUGUAUAUUUAGCUGGUUAUCUAUGCCAGCAGAAAUGUGUUCUUUUCAUUGAUUUAAUCAGUAACUGCACUAAGUCUCUGGAUUUAUUCGACACUCCAUUUGUCAAAUUGGCUCCUCUGAUAAUACAACUACAGAAAUGCAUUUGAUCAAAUUUGGAGAACUUGGAGAUGUGCAAUAUAUUACAUAUGACGUUUGAAUACAUAUUUUGAGGGAAUGGUAUUUGCAUUAUUAUGCACUGUGAAUUACUGUUUCAGGACUUAUAUGCUUGAUUUGCACAAGUUACUGUGUCUGUACUAUACAACUGUUUCUAUUGCAGUUAAUAUAAUCAAUAAAAGUAUUGUUUACAAUGAGACAAUAA
Scophthalmus maximus (turbot) is the source of this 1589-nucleotide long non-coding RNA. RefSeq lists it as uncharacterized. The transcript has 2 exons. NCBI's taxonomy places the organism in Eukaryota, Metazoa, Chordata, Actinopteri, Pleuronectiformes, Scophthalmidae. The record is from RefSeq and is a predicted model, not a curated record.